This is a long non-coding RNA of Dalotia coriaria, 959 nucleotides long. RefSeq lists it as uncharacterized. The record is from RefSeq and is a predicted model, not a curated record. NCBI's taxonomy places the organism in Eukaryota, Metazoa, Arthropoda, Insecta, Coleoptera, Staphylinidae. The transcript has 3 exons.
CAACAUAUCCUCGUAGACGCUUCCUCUCUCAAUCGGUGCAAAAAUGAUCGCAAAAUAUCCACGAAAACUAAUCACAAGUUUCACAAACUUAUCAAUACAUAUUCAUCAAUGAAUAAACGCAAAAGGAAAACAAAACGGAAACACCGCCGCCCGUGGAGUCGACUCCACUCCGUGCGGCGAUAAUAAAAUAAUAAAAACAAAUCCGCGCAGCCAUCGGUCGGAUAGCGGGGACGCAUUGGCCGGAAAUGACAAAAAAUAUUGCCAACUGUAACUGUCAUUCCAUUUCGAAAUUCGAAAUUCGCGCAGAGAUGUCAUUCGUCAACAAAAUGCGGCAAUAUCCAGCCAUAAGUAUAAACCAAAUUAAAAACCACCAGCAAAUACUCGUACUGCCAAACAAGCAAGCAGAGAAAAAAUUUGCAAAAAAAUAAAACACAGAGCAAAUAUUAAACACUCCAAUAUUGCAAGAGCAAGUAAAAUAUCAGCGGAAAAAGCGGAAAUUCGUUUAAAAACUGCGCACGAAUAUUAAAUUUUCAACGACAUCAUCGAAUUAGUAUUCGGCGAUGAUAAUCCGCGAUGUACGAAAAUACAAGCGACGAAACAAUACGAGAAAUAAGAGAAAAACUCAACAAAACGGAAACGAAACGAAUGCGUUUCCAGUCUCAAGAAGCAAAUGGAGAAAAUGGAAAUUUCCUAAAGUGGAAGUCUCAUAGAAGAGAUAAAGUCGAACGAGCCGAGGUCCACGUCCACGGAAAUGCCGAGCACAAAACGAAGAAAAAGCGCAAUUUCUCCGCGCGGCGCGCCGACUUGAAAUCGAACAACAAAAGCCGCCCGAGAACGAAUGACAUCCGCAAAUAAAUGCAAUUUAUCAAUUUGAGCCUUCUACUUAACCGCCAAGCACUGGUAGUUAAUUUAUAACCACAAACUUACACAAAAAAAAACAACUAAAUAUCAGCAGAUAA